UACAGAGGUGGCAAGCGUUGUUCGGAAUUACUUGGCGUAAAGGGCGCGUAGGCGGUCUUGUAAGUCUUGUGUGAAAUCCCUCGGCUUAACUGAGGAACUGCACGAGAUACUGCGAGACUUGAGUUCGGGAGAGGAAAGCGGAAUUCCGGGUGUAGCGGUGAAAUGCGUAGAUAUCCGGAGGAACACCGGUGGCGAAGGCGGCUUUCCGGACCGACACUGACGCUGAGGCGCGAAAGCUAGGGGAGCAAACGGG
Molecule: ribosomal RNA, 253 nt
Filed under: uncultured bacterium
Lineage: Bacteria
Description: partial 16S ribosomal RNA
Rfam family: Bacterial small subunit ribosomal RNA
Source: RNAcentral